AACCUUUUUUUCCCCGCCGGAAGGGCAUAUAUAUGAAAUGUCGAUGCAAAUCGACUAUGGCGAUAAAUGGCCUUCGUAAUAAGCCUAUCGGACCCGGGGGCGGUACCCGGCGCCUCCACCAAAUUCCAGACUGCCAUGGGGAAGCAUCCCUUGGAUCUGGAAUCCGGCGGGGGCGAAAUAGGAUCGACGAGGGUGUAAAGGUUGAGCUUUCGCUCGGCAUGGUUCCGCCGUUAUCGGGCCAUUCAAUAGUUGCAAACGACAACUAUGCCGAGGCAGCUCUCGCUGCGUAAGCAGUGCGAUAGCCUCAAAUUCAAGCCCUAACCGGUCGCACGGUUAGGCGCGGUUUCGGAGGGCACCGGGCAACAGAAGCCCUCCACU
This 378-nucleotide transfer-messenger RNA is filed under the name Methyloligella sp. GL2. RNAcentral describes it as "Alphaproteobacteria transfer-messenger RNA". It matches the Rfam family "Alphaproteobacteria transfer-messenger RNA". From Rfam's summary of the family: Bacterial tmRNA, also known as 10Sa RNA or SsrA, is named for its dual tRNA and mRNA-like properties. Its role is to liberate the mRNA from a stalled ribosome. RNAcentral also lists the same sequence under 1 other name. The record is from Rfam by way of RNAcentral. Lineage: Bacteria; Pseudomonadati; Pseudomonadota; Alphaproteobacteria; Hyphomicrobiales; Hyphomicrobiaceae.